CCCUUAGACGCUCUGGGCCGCACGCGCGCUACACUGACCAGUGCAACAAGCAUCCGUCCUUGGCCGACAGGCCCGGGCAAUCUUUGAACGCUGGUCGUGAUGGGGAUAGACUUUUGCAAUUUUUGGUCUUCAACGAGGAAUUCCUAGUAAACGCAAGUCAUCAACUUGCAUUGAUUACGUCCCUGCCCUUUGUACACACCGCCCGUCGCACCUACCGAUUGAAUGGUCCGGUGAAGCCUCCGGAUUGGCGCGCACCUCGGUGCCGCCGAGAAGUUGGCUAAACCUUACCAUUUAGAGGAAGGUGAANUCGUANCA
RNAcentral lists this ribosomal RNA (315 nucleotides) under uncultured eukaryote. RNAcentral's name for it is "partial 18S ribosomal RNA". It matches the Rfam family "Eukaryotic small subunit ribosomal RNA", at positions 1470 to 1796 of the family's 1831-position model. The record is from RNAcentral.